GAUGAACGCUGGCGGCGUGCCUAAUACAUGCAAGUCGAGCGAACAGACGAGGAGCUUGCUCCUCUGACGUUAGCGGCGGACGGGUGGGUAACACGUGGAUAACCUACCUAUAAGACUGGGAUAACUUCGGGAAACCGGAGCUAAUACCGGAUAAUAUAUUGAACCGCAUGGUUCAAUAGUGAAAGACGGUUUUGCUGUCACUUAUAGAUGGAUCCGCGCCGCAUUAGCUAGUUGGUAAGGUAACGGCUUACCAAGGCAACGAUGCGUAGCCGACCUGAGAGGGUGAUCGGCCACACUGGAACUGAGACACGGUCCAGACUCCUACGGGAGGCAGCAGUAGGGAAUCUUCCGCAAUGGGCGAAAGCCUGACGGAGCAACGCCGCGUGAGUGAUGAAGGUCUUCGGAUCGUAAAACUCUGUUAUUAGGGAAGAACAAAUGUGUAAGUAACUAUGCACGCCUUGACGGUACCUAAUCAGAAAGCCACAGCUAACUACGUG
This 497-nucleotide ribosomal RNA is filed under the name uncultured bacterium. Its description in RNAcentral is "partial 16S ribosomal RNA". It matches the Rfam family "Bacterial small subunit ribosomal RNA", at positions 28 to 507 of the family's 1533-position model. The record is from RNAcentral.